GGGCGGGUAGCGAAGUGGUCAACCGCGGCAGACUGUAAAUCUGCUCUCUCCGAGUUCGGGGGUUCGAAUCCCUCCCCGCCCACCA
This 85-nucleotide transfer RNA is filed under the name Candidatus Peregrinibacteria bacterium. Its description in RNAcentral is "tRNA-Tyr". It matches the Rfam family "tRNA". Rfam says of the family: Transfer RNA (tRNA) molecules are approximately 80 nucleotides in length. Their secondary structure includes four short double-helical elements and three loops (D, anti-codon, and T loops). The record is from RNAcentral. Lineage: Bacteria; Candidatus Peregrinibacteriota.